This 248-nucleotide ribosomal RNA is filed under the name uncultured bacterium. RNAcentral describes it as "partial 16S ribosomal RNA". It matches the Rfam family "Bacterial small subunit ribosomal RNA", at positions 335 to 600 of the family's 1533-position model. The record is from RNAcentral.
CCUCCUACGGGGGGAAGCAGUGGGGAAUAUUGCACAAUGGGGGGAACCCUGAUGCAGCGACGCCGCGUGAGUAAAGAAGUAUUUCGGUAUGGAAAGCUCUAUCAGCAGGGAAGAAAAUGACGGUACCUGACUAAGAAGCCCCGGCUAACUACGUGCCAGCAGCCGCGGUAAUACGUAGGGGGCAAGCGUUAUCCGGAUUUACUGGGUGUAAAGGGUGCGUAGGUGGCAGGGCAAGUCAGAAGUAAAAU